RNAcentral lists this ribosomal RNA (468 nucleotides) under uncultured bacterium. RNAcentral describes it as "partial 16S ribosomal RNA". It matches the Rfam family "Bacterial small subunit ribosomal RNA", at positions 28 to 507 of the family's 1533-position model. The record is from RNAcentral.
GACGAACGCUGGCGGCGUGCUUAACACAUGCAAGUCGAACGGAAAGGCCCUGCUUUUGUGGGGUGCUCGAGUGGCGAACGGGUGAGUAACACGUGAGUAACCUGCCCUUGACUUUGGGAUAACUUCAGGAAACUGGGGCUAAUACCGGAUAGGAGCUCCUGCUGCAUGGUGGGGGUUGGAAAGUUUCGGCGGUUGGGGAUGGACUCGCGGCUUAUCAGCUUGUUGGUGGGGUAGUGGCUUACCAAGGCUUUGACGGGUAGCCGGCCUGAGAGGGUGACCGGCAACAGUGGGACUGAGAUACGGCCCAGACUCCUACGGGAGGCAGCAGGGGGGAAAAUUGGAAAAUGGGCGGAAGCCUGAUGGAGCAACGCCGCGUGCGGGAUGACGGCCUUCGGGUUGUAAACCGCUUUCGCCUGUGACGAAGCGUGAGGGACGGUAAUGGGUAAAGAAGCACCGGCUAACUACGUG